Molecule: ribosomal RNA, 274 nt
Filed under: uncultured bacterium
Lineage: Bacteria
Description: partial 16S ribosomal RNA
Rfam family: Bacterial small subunit ribosomal RNA
Source: RNAcentral
AUACGGAGGGUGCAAACGUUACUCGGAAUCACUGGGCGUAAAGCGCGCGCAGGCGGCUAUUUAAGUUGGAUGUGAAAGCCUACGGCUCAACCGUAGAACUGCAUCCAAAACUAUUUAGCUAGGGUGUGGGAGAGGAAGAUGGAAUUAGUUGUGUAGGGGUAAAAUCCGUAGAGAUAACUAGGAAUACCAAAAGCGAAGGCAAUCUUCUGGAACACUACUGACGCUGAGGCGCGAAAGCGUGGGGAGCAAACAGGAUUAGAAACCCUAGUAGUCC